CCAGGUACCCCUCAUUAUUUUUUGAAAUUAUUUUCUAUCAUCUGAAUUUUAAACUCUAAACCCAUUUAAACUCAAUAUAUUAGGGCAUAUAUUUUGAAAGCUUUUGCAAUAGUAGUGAUGGAUUUGUGCAGAUACAUCCACUGCUUUACCUCAUUUCUCCUGCUGACCAAAUACAGACAGUUCUGAAACUACUGAAUUAAGGGUGCAGAUUCAGUCCAUGGAAAGAAGCUCAUUGAAUGCUUUUGGUCUUCAUUGAGGACUUACCGAAUUUAUCACUGUGCUUACCCCAGGGAUGUGGCAGUUCACUACAUUACAGAGACUCCUUUGUAAGGAAUAGCCGUACCAUUGUAGUAGUAAAAGGGAUCUGCUUUUAUGGAUUCUCUUUUGUGUGUUUGGGCUGACUGCUAGGAAACUUUGAGCCAGAUUUGCUUCCGAACACCGGGAACUGCAUGAGUUACUAUGUCAUUCUCUGAUUAUUUAGUCAUUUUUGUGUGUUAUUUAUUUUUUGAUCUGUUAUUAAUGCUUUGGGGAAUGAGGCAAGCUUUUAUGGAAAUACGCCCACAAUCGUGAUCUUAUUAGCACUAGAUGUAACUCAUUGUACUAGAUGUCCAUAACUAUUGAAAAGACUCUUAAUUUGGAUAUAUGCCUUUUAGACCCAUUAGUGGCAACUGCAGUGAACCACUUUUCCAGGGAUGUUUGCUAAGCCCUUAAAAUCUUUAUUUGUUUCUCACAGGUCAUAGAGAAGAGAUACUUUCUAAGAGAAGGUAAUCAGAUUCCAGGCUUUCCUGAUCGGAAGAGGUUUGGGGGAGGAACAUUAAAGAGCCUUCAUUAUGACUGAAUUACACUCAUCGUCUGGAAGAGUGAGCAAGCGGUGGCAUUGUGCACAGCUUCCUUCUUGCCGUGUUGACUAUUAAUGUUUCAGCCUUUUCGCAGAAUCAUCUUAAAAUACCACCACCCUUCAGCCUCACCCUUUAAUGGAAAGCUGAAAGGAAGUGACUGUGUGGGAGGUCCAAACUUUGUCCCCGUCCUCUCUGUUCCUCACCUUUCUGUCCCUGUUUAUAGAUUAUGUAAAAGCCUUGUGGAAAUAUGAGAUGUUGUCAAAAUGAUGCAGUAAAUGAGCAAUGACAGAGUGCUGUGGAGAAAAUUUACUCUUCCCAGAACUGGAAGGUUUUUAUGGAUCUGUAAUUUUCCCACACUCCUUGCUGGAGGCUUAAUUAAGUACUUCAAAAUGUAUCUGUGUUGUAUUACCCUCUUGAGGGGAAAGGUUAUGUUAGCCAGCCCUGGGUCGUGCACCCCAGUCUCUGUCAUUUUCAAAGAAGCAAAAGGGUGUUAUUUAAUUGUGUCCCCUCUCAUCACACACAAGGAUGCCUAAGAAUAGAAGCCCUUGUUUCCCUCUCCUCUCCUUUGCAAGAGGUUCAGUGGCUAGAAGAGGCGGACUCCUAGGUGGAGUUAAAUAUAAAUAGAUUAAUAAUACAUAGAGAACAGCGGUACCAGAAAAGAAGACUUCUCCGAGAAAUGGAGAGCUCACUAAAUCCUUCACUCUAGGUUCCAGAUGUCUGCACUGUCUUACUGUUUUUCAUUUGGAAAUAGGUAGGGUGAGAUCUCAGACCUUCACGAGGGCAGCAAGAGAGAUUUAUAGCCUCUUGGGUUUCUGUGUUUUUUAAGGAAAAGUCAGCUCCUGAAAUGUCUCUUAACUGUAGUCAGUAAACUAAGAAUAUUAUUCUCUGUGUCAACAAUGUAUUUAUGGAGAGAAGUAAAAAUAAGUUCCACAGCAACACAUUUACAUGAAUUAUGGACUAGGAUUCUUAGAUUUCAUAAUCCACCGUUUUUGAGGAUGGUGGUGUAUGUGUGCGUAUGCAUAAUUGUUCAUCGUUACUUUUUUUACCCAUUUUUUCUGCUUGUUUAAUUCUCUCUGCCCUGGUUCUUCUUUAAUAUAGAGACCUCGUUUCCAAAAACUGCAAUUUGCUGCCUUAUUCAACACCCAUUUUCCUGCUCUGGCUCUGCGGCAGGUCUUUGCACUACUGAUUUUGUUCCAUAUUAAAAAAAACUAAUAAGCACACAAUUUCAGCUUCUCAUUUUAAAACUAGGCAAAAAACACUAAAUUCGCUUUCUCUUCCAUCUUAAUUACAUUUCAGAAGUACUUUGGAAAUCAAGGUAUGCUAAAAGAGGAUCUUAGAAUAAGAAUGUUAGCCAAUGCUUUUAGAAAGGCAGUUGGAGGAAUUUGGAAAAGGAUUUUUAAAGCACCUUUCAUCAGCUAGAAUAUUCUCCAGUCUUUCUUCCCAUCCUCAGCCACAAGAUUUAGCCCUCAUUUCUUUUUUCACACAAAGGAGAGCUAUGCAAAUCAGGCUCUGUAUGUGGAGUUUGGCACAAGCCUGUUGUGACAGGCUGUGCAGGUAGGAAGCAGAAAGCAAAUGCACACACAAGGACCUGAACCAACUAAAGCUCUUUGUAUUCCUCUUUUAGAAAAUAAAUUCAAAAAAAUUAUACUUACAUUAUGAAAAAAUAAAAUACAACAAUACAAAAGCAAAAAUUAAUAUAUAACCCUUUCCUUCUCUCCCGCUUUCUUCCUCUUUCUUGCCCUUAAUUAAAAAAAUCUAUCUCAAUUUCUUUAUUUUCUCCCUUAUUAAAAAAUAAAAGUAACCCAUCACUGAUGGCUUCAGGGUCAGCCUUGAAAACUUAACAGUACUCCUCAAUUGCAUUUCUUCUUGCUGUCAGGCUUGAUUCCCUGGAUUACAGUUUUCUGAGAAAAAAUUAUUUUUAAUCUAAGGUAAAUUUGCUGCAAGUAUUAGUAGCAGCAAAACAAGGCUGUUUGCCAAAAUGAAUGUAAUUAUGUUAUUAGCCAAAGUUCUUCAAAAAGAAGCAUAAUUUUUGCCAAGAUUUCCUGAGACCUGCUCAUCAAAAUUGCUUUUGGAUAAUGAACAAAUGUAAAUACUGAAAUACUUCCUGAAAAGUGUUAAUUAAAUCUUUAAUUUUCUUGAUGGAACAAGUGACUGGCAAUAGAGAAAGAUUUUUUUUUU
Molecule: non-coding RNA, 3017 nt
Organism: Leptonychotes weddellii (Weddell seal)
Lineage: Eukaryota; Metazoa; Chordata; Mammalia; Carnivora; Phocidae
Source: RefSeq, a predicted model, not a curated record